Molecule: long non-coding RNA, 291 nt
Filed under: Homo sapiens (human)
Lineage: Eukaryota; Metazoa; Chordata; Mammalia; Primates; Hominidae
Description: non-protein coding lnc-GPR1-2:1
Source: RNAcentral
AUGCCCUAGAGCAAGUUCCCCGCAGCUGAAGGGGCAGCGAAGGAAGAGCCGAAGUGAAGACUGGUGAGGUUAUCAGCUAAAACCGCCCCUACAAAAGUGAAAACAAAUCCAAAACAGGCAGCAGGAAAGGAUAAAUCUUCACACAAACAAAUGAAAAAAUGCAAAGAAAAGUAUAAGACAAACAGGCCAAAGUAGCUGCCCCAGAAAGUAAAGAUUUUCCUGCAGAAAAUGGAGAAACUGAAAAUAAGGAGAGUCCAGCCUCUGCUGAAGCAGGAGAGAAAGAAGCCAAGU